Non-coding RNA from Lactuca sativa (garden lettuce), 749 nucleotides. The record is from RefSeq and is a predicted model, not a curated record. Lineage: Eukaryota; Viridiplantae; Streptophyta; Magnoliopsida; Asterales; Asteraceae.
CACUCUCUCUUUUCCAACGCCAUUUCAUUUGGUUUUUAUGGUUUUACGGUCGUUUCCUAGUCUUCAUCAAUAACUCAAUUUCAUCUCCUUUUUUUUUUUGCAAUUUUCCCCUUAUAUUGGUUCUCGUAACAGCUUUAAUUUAAAGAAAUUGAAGGAAUUAGAAGUUGUUCAUCUAUCGAUUCUAUAAGAUGUAUGAGAUUUGAGAUUUGAUGUGGCUAGGUAGGAGUUUUUGUUGGUCCACCACAUGUUCGAUGAAAUGCUUAACAAAAAAUAUUGGGUUAAACCUGAUGACAAUGAAGCUAGUUUCAACUAUUAACUUAAGAUCUAUCCACAUGAUGGAAACUUGAAAGAGUCAAGUCAAGGGUUGUUGGUGACAAUCAAUUAUAUGAGGGCAUUACCGCAUCAUCAUUAUAAUGAAAGAGUGAAGCAGGUCGUACUAGACAGGUUUUGAAGAGGUUGUCAUUAAUGUGGAAUAUGAAGAAAACAUGGAGAAUGAUAUUUGUAUUCUAACAGAAUGUAUUCUGUCAGAAUCUAUUCUGCAAGAAUAGAUUAUUGUUUUUAUUAGAUUUUGAUAUUUUUUUUCUUUUUAACCAUUUUUACUUUUAAUCUUUAAGAAUAAAUGUAAUCCUUAAACCAUUAUUGGUCAUAAUUUUUUGAGAAUGAUUGUAAUAAUUGCUUAGUCUUUUUGUUUACGGAUGAAUGUAAAUAGUGAUUCUUAAAGAAUAAAAUUUGUAUUCUUUAGAAAAUGU